This 73-nucleotide transfer RNA is filed under the name Catonella morbi. RNAcentral describes it as "tRNA-Thr(cgt)". It matches the Rfam family "tRNA". From Rfam's summary of the family: Transfer RNA (tRNA) molecules are approximately 80 nucleotides in length. Their secondary structure includes four short double-helical elements and three loops (D, anti-codon, and T loops). Further hydrogen bonds mediate the characteristic L-shaped molecular structure. tRNAs have two regions of fundamental functional importance: the anti-codon, which is responsible for specific mRNA codon recognition, and the 3' end, to which the tRNAs corresponding amino acid is attached (by aminoacyl-tRNA synthetases). tRNAs cope with the degeneracy of the genetic code in two manners: having more than one tRNA (with a specific anti-codon) for a particular amino acid; and 'wobble' base-pairing, i.e. permitting non-standard base-pairing at the 3rd anti-codon position. Lineage: Bacteria; Bacillati; Bacillota; Clostridia; Lachnospirales; Lachnospiraceae. The record is from RNAcentral. RNAcentral also lists the same sequence under 4 other names.
GCUACUGUAGCUCAGUUGGUGGAGCAGCUGAUUCGUAAUCAGCAGGCCGUCGGUUCGAGUCCGAUCAGUAGCC